This 291-nucleotide non-coding RNA is filed under the name Streptomyces sp. NRRL WC-3618. RNAcentral's name for it is "Streptomyces sRNA 4677". It matches the Rfam family "Streptomyces sRNA 4677". Rfam says of the family: Located in the intergenic region between anti-sigma factor SCO4677 gene and a putative regulatory protein gene SCO4676. scr4677 expression requires the SCO4677 activity and scr4677 sRNA itself seem to affect the levels of the SCO4676-associated transcripts. Lineage: Bacteria; Bacillati; Actinomycetota; Actinomycetes; Kitasatosporales; Streptomycetaceae. The record is from Rfam by way of RNAcentral.
GGUUCCGGCGUGACCGGCGCUCUUUUCAAAGGAACAUCUGGAGAGAAAGAAACCCAACCAAGCCCCACCCCUCCCGCCCGCUGGGACGGCCACCGCGGCCCUCGCUGCCGCCGCCGCGCAAACUCACUCGGGCGAGUGAACAUCGGCAACACGGCUGGAUUCGGGACUGGUUGCCUGCCCUACGCUCAGCGCAGCACCAUCACCACAAACAACCGUAGACAUGCGACGGCCCUCGCCGGGAAGGCAAUCCCAAGGCGAGGGCCUGACCACCGAGGAAGAGGCAACUUCCUG